This 34-nucleotide transfer RNA is filed under the name Porella platyphylla. RNAcentral describes it as "partial tRNA-Phe". The record is from RNAcentral. RNAcentral also lists the same sequence under 1 other name. Lineage: Eukaryota; Viridiplantae; Streptophyta; Jungermanniopsida; Porellales; Porellaceae.
GCCGGGAUAGCUCAGUUGGUAGAGCAGGGGAUUG